This is an RNA transcript of Carassius auratus (goldfish), 2290 nucleotides long. It is a transcript of the gene named matrix remodeling-associated protein 8-like, with no coding region annotated. Lineage: Eukaryota; Metazoa; Chordata; Actinopteri; Cypriniformes; Cyprinidae. The transcript has 10 exons. The record is from RefSeq and is a predicted model, not a curated record.
UUCUGGAGGAGGGGCAUGUCAGUGGUCCAGACCAGCAGACGGCAAAUAUUUCGUUUUCUGUCGCUGGUCGACGAAACGUUUGAGGUGAGGGAGCAGUCCUUUGAAAAAACUGUUUCGUCGAUCACCAGACUUAACAAAUAUCUUCACCACUUUCCGGACAUGUUUCUUAUGCCAUACAUCUGGUCUGCCCUGAUCUUACCAUGUGCCUGGGCACAAAACAACAUGCCAAGUGUGGUUGUGGAGGCGAGGAACAUUACUGUUCCAGCCGGGUCAGAUGUUCUUCUGCCGUGUCAUAACCAGAGGAUGGUUUGGAGGCAGGAUCGCCUGCGGGACCGUCAGCGUGUCGUGCACUGGGACCUGAUCCGGAACCAACCCGAUUACACUGUGGAGCGCAUUUUAGAUAUGUCCUCAGGGGGAACAGAGCGCUUGUACAACGACUACAACAGGGGUCGAAUUACUAUUUCAAAAGACGCCUUUAGCGAUGGAAAUUUCUCACUAGUUAUUAAUAAUGUGGACAUGAAUGAUAAAGGUAUCUAUACCUGCAACCUACAUCACCACUAUUGCAAGGUCCACCAGUCCGUUCAAAUCCAGCUCAACGUCACUAAAUCACCUCGAAAGGAAAAGCGUGUCUGGGUUGGCAACAAAUCCGUGUUUGUGGUUCUGGUGGGAAAGAGUGUGGUGCUUCCCUGUAUGAACCGCAGACAAUUGUGGACGGACAGUCAGAAGGACGAGGGCCAACAGCAAGUGGUCCACUGGGACUGGCAGGCACCUGGGGUCACCCGUGACCGAGCAGACCGCCUCAUCGACAUGUAUGCCUCUGGAGAGAACCGGCAGUAUGGGCCGCUCUUCCUCCGGAAUAAGAUGAACAUCUCAACUGAUGCCUUCUACAUGGGGGAUUUCUCCCUGAGUGUCCACAACAUUCAGCCCUCUGAUAAAGGCUUGUAUUCCUGCCACCUUCACCAUCACUACUGUGGCUUGCAUGAAAGACGAAUCUUCAGGGUGAUCGUCGGCCCUUCUGUCCAGCCUUCACCUCAAGCGCGCUCCUCUACUGAUGCACCAAAAACUCGUUCUUCUUAUUCUGCCCCACCUGCUGAUGACCCAAAUACACACAUGGUUGAAGUGCCUCGCAUCCUCAAUGUCAUUUUGCCUGAGAAUCAAACUCACCUCUUGCACCAAGUAGGCUACAUCCUGGCAAUCUUCCUACUGCUUCUGUUAAUGCUCAUUGGCAUCAUUAUGACCACGAGACACUGCAGAAAAAAAGGGCCUGAGUUUGAGGUUCGAAGGUCUGAACGGCAAUGGCAUAACUUUACUUGGCAGGGGGAGGAGGACAUCCAUUGAGCCUGAUGCCACAGCACUGCAACCCUACAAUCAGGAAGACUUGCGAAUGGACUACAAGAACAACAUAAUUAAAGAAAAGGCAGCGGCAAACAACUAUCCCUCUCCAAAAGUUAUUGAUCUAAACAGAGAAAUGGAGAGAAUGUCAUGGAAGUGAUUCAUAGUGAGCUGCUGGCCGGUCCAGAGUGUGCUGAAUCAGAAGAGAUUCAAGGACUUUACAUUUACAUUGAGGACAAGAACGGAAGUACUGACUUUCUACAGCAUAAUUACAGCUUACAUGAUGUUAUAAUACUCAAAUGCAACACUGUAGGUCAAUUUAAUUGAAAUCUUUUUAUCAUGAUAGCAGUUUACCGUAAUGGUAAUCUAUUGAAUUUUAAGUUACACAUAUGCAAAAAUGUGAGAGAUCAAAUUGCUGAAUUCAGUUUGGUUCUCUUCUGUGUUAAAUUUCUAAAUUUCUAAGUUGAAUUGCUAAAAUUCUGUGUGGUAGAAACCACUGUAAGUGUCUGGAUCUGAAUGGGAUUUUUUUUAUAAAACUCAGGAAGCAAACAAAUAGCUGUGGCUUCAGGUCUAAAUAGUCAAAGAUGGUACACAAGUGAACUUCAAAGGCAAUUAAAUGUACUAUCUAUACAUUACGUUUUGUUUGAAUUUUGAGUCCUAUUGACCAGGACUUCUUUGGUCCAUUGUCUUUUUAUGGGGUUUGUUUUACAGCAUUAUGUAGAUUGUACAGUUACAGUUUAUUUGCUUUCGCAAUACGAACAAGUCCCAUUUAUCUCUUUUGCAUUAUCAUAUUUUUUCAGACAUUUCCUUGGUCAGUGAUGUUCAUUUACAUAGGUUAAGCAUUCAUGCAGUAGUUUUUAUUUGCUCUGGAGUGUACAUGUAUCUUUAUAGAGGCAAUAUAUGAUCACAUCAGUAUAGAUGACCAAUGUACAAAUAUAAUAAAGUUUAUUCUGAAAUA